GUUCUUAGGACUCUCUCUCUCUCCUUUCAGAGUUAACUGAGAUGAGUCUUUAUGGAGCUUGGGCUGGCAACUGAUUAAGUGAUAACUUGGUGAUAAAAAAAAAAACACAGCUGGCAUUCCAUAGAUCAGAUGUGGUGUGUGUCACCGAGAUGGCCAGGAGGAACAGAACAAAGGCCUCACUAGUCCUAAUUAUCCAGGCAUCUGGGAAACAGCACGAGAGGCAGAUGACCAGAGGAAACCCCAGUGGCUUAUAGUACCUCCAAUGUAUAUGGGAGAGGUGGAACCAAGCAUUCUGGGUAUCAGCUAUAUAAACUGUGCACUGUCUGUAAAGAGUAGGCUCUCAGCCCAACAGUCAAGACUUUUGUGUCGACGGUUUCAGUAUUGCAAUAAUUAAUCAAUAUUGACUAAAGAUGAUUGUUUGAAGAAAUGACAAAGUCUCUGUCACUCUCUACAUAUAAUAUUCCACCAUACAAUACUGCAUGUUGGUGAUACAACAGCUAAAGGGGAAGUAAUCGUGGAAGUGAUGAAGUCCAAGUGUGCCUAAUGGGGUGCAGGUGUACGUAAUGAUGGGUGCUAGGUGUGCGUAAUGAUAGUUUGCCAGGACUGGUGGUUAGUAGACCGGCAACGUCAAGCCCCAGAGCGGGAGUAGACGUGAUAGAACCCCCACCGACGCGUGGCUCCAGCCACAGGAGGAUGGCCCCGAAGGCGAGGAGCGGGCCGGUCGGCGAAGGUGGAAAUCUCGGAUGAUGUUGGGAUCUAGAAUGUCAUCCACCGGAACCCAACAGCACUCCUCUGGACCAUACCCCUCCCAGUCCACCAUAUACUGGAAGUGACCCCCAUGACGUCGGGAGUCCAGGAGGGAUCUGACGUCAUCUGACGGGCUUCCUUCGAUGUCCAGGGGAGGUGGAGAGGUGUCGUGGGAGAUGGCAUAAGCCAGGAGACCAGAAACCCCCAUGCUGAUGAGGGAAACAUGAAAAGAGGGUGAGAUAAGGACCUGAGCCCUAGGACCAUGCCUCAAGACUACCUGGUAUGAUGACUCCUUGCUGUCCCCAGUUCACCUGGCCGUGCUGCUGCUCCAGUUUCAACUGUUCUGGCUGCGGCUAUGGAAUCCUGACCUGUUCACCGGACGUGCUACCUGUCCCAGACCUGCUGUUUUUAACUCUAGAGACAGCAGGAGUGGUAGAGAUGCUCUUAAUGAUUGGCUAUGAAAAGCCAACUGACAUUUUACUCCUGAGGUGCUGACUUGCUGCACCCUCAACAACUACUGUGAUUAUUAUUAUUAUUUGACCAUGCUGGUCAUUUAUGAACAUUUGAACAGCUUGGCCAUGUUCUGUUAUCUCC
Oncorhynchus tshawytscha (Chinook salmon) is the source of this 1341-nucleotide long non-coding RNA. NCBI's taxonomy places the organism in Eukaryota, Metazoa, Chordata, Actinopteri, Salmoniformes, Salmonidae. The record is from Ensembl.